RNAcentral lists this ribosomal RNA (253 nucleotides) under uncultured bacterium. RNAcentral describes it as "partial 16S ribosomal RNA". It matches the Rfam family "Bacterial small subunit ribosomal RNA", at positions 524 to 776 of the family's 1533-position model. The record is from RNAcentral.
UACGUAGGGGGCUAGCGUUGUCCGGAAUCAUUGGGCGUAAAGAGCGUGUAGGCGGCCCGGUAAGUCCGCUGUGAAAGUCGGGGGCUCAACCCUCGGAUGCCGGUGGAUACUGUCGGGCUCGAGUACGGAAGAGGCGAGUGGAAUUCCUGGUGUAGCGGUGAAAUGCGCAGAUAUCAGGAGGAACACCAAUUGCGAAGGCAGCUCGCUGGGACGUUAUUGACGCUGAGACGCGAAAGCGUGGGGAGCAAACAGG